RNAcentral lists this ribosomal RNA (567 nucleotides) under uncultured bacterium. Its description in RNAcentral is "bacterial SSU rRNA". It matches the Rfam family "Bacterial small subunit ribosomal RNA", at positions 338 to 918 of the family's 1533-position model. The record is from RNAcentral.
CCGUACGGGAGGCAGCAGUGGGGAAUAUUGGACAAUGGGCGAAAGCCUGAUCCAGCAAUGCCGCGUGAGUGAUGAAGGCCUUAGGGUUGUAAAGCUCUUUUACCCGGGAUGAUAAUGACAGUACCGGGAGAAUAAGCUCCGGCUAACUCCGUGCCAGCAGCCGCGGUAAUACGGAGGGAGCUAGCGUUAUUCGGAAUUACUGGGCGUAAAGCGCACGUAGGCGGCUUUGUAAGUAAGAGGUGAAAGCCCAGAGCUCAACUCUGGAAUUGCCUUUUAAACUGCAUCGCUUGAAUCAUGGAGAGGUCAGUGGAAUUCCGAGUGUAGAGGUGAAAUUCGUAGAUAUUACGGAAGAACACCAGUGGCGAAGGCGGCUGACUGGACAUGUAUUGACGCUGAGGUGCGAAAGCGUGGGGAGCAAACAGGAUUAGGAUACCCUGGUAGUCCACGCCGUAAACGAUGAUAACUAGCUGUCCGGACACUUGGUGUUUGGGUGGCGCAGCUAACGCAUUAAGUUAUCCGCCUGGGGAGUACGGCCGCGAAGGUUAAACUCGAAAUGAAUUGACGGUU